UACGAGUGCCCCAAGCGUUAUCCGGAAUCAUUGGGCGUAAAGGGCGCGUAGGCGGCUCUGCACGUUCGUUGUGAAAUCGCCCGGCUCAACUGGGCGGGGUCAGCGGAUACGGCGGAGCUUGAGCAAGCUAGGGGGCAAUGGAAUUCCCGGUGUAGUGGUGGAAUGCGUAGAUAUCGGGAGGAACACCAGUGGCGAAGGCGGUUGCCUGGGGCUUUGCUGACGCUGAUGCGCGAAAGCGUGGGGAGCGAUCCGG
Molecule: ribosomal RNA, 253 nt
Filed under: uncultured bacterium
Lineage: Bacteria
Description: partial 16S ribosomal RNA
Rfam family: Bacterial small subunit ribosomal RNA
Source: RNAcentral